RNAcentral lists this ribosomal RNA (589 nucleotides) under intestinal bacterium CPA-31B. RNAcentral's name for it is "bacterial SSU rRNA". It matches the Rfam family "Bacterial small subunit ribosomal RNA", at positions 15 to 598 of the family's 1533-position model. The record is from RNAcentral.
GAUCCUGGCUGAGAUUGAACGCUGGCGGCAGGCUUAACACAUGCAAGUCGAGCGGAGAGAGGUAGCUUGCUACUGAUCUUAGCGGCGGACGGGUGAGUAAUGCUUAGGAAUCUGCCUAUUAGUGGGGGACAACAUUUCGAAAGGAAUGCUAAUACCGCAUACGUCCUACGGGAGAAAGCAGGGGAUCUUCGGACCUUGCGCUAAUAGAUGAGCCUAAGUCGGAUUAGCUAGUUGGUGGGGUAAAGGCCUACCAAGGCGACGAUCUGUAGCGGGUCUGAGAGGAUGAUCCGCCACACUGGGACUGAGACACGGCCCAGACUCCUACGGGAGGCAGCAGUGGGGAAUAUUGGACAAUGGGCGCAAGCCUGAUCCAGCCAUGCCGCGUGUGUGAAGAAGGCCUUAUGGUUGUAAAGCACUUUAAGCGAGGAGGAGGCUACUUUAGUUAAUACCUAGAGAUAGUGGACGUUACUCGCANAAUANGCACCGGCUAACUCUGUGCCAGCAGCCGCGGUAAUACAGAGGGUGCAAGCGUUAAUCGGAUUUACUGGGCGUAAAGCGCGCGUAGGCGGCUAAUUAAGUCAAAUGUGAA